Molecule: long non-coding RNA, 357 nt
Organism: Papaver somniferum (opium poppy)
Lineage: Eukaryota; Viridiplantae; Streptophyta; Magnoliopsida; Ranunculales; Papaveraceae
Exons: 3
Source: RefSeq, a predicted model, not a curated record
CACGACUCUCACUUCUGUUAUCCCCAAAACACCAGCACUAUGAGCAAACCAUUAAACACAAACUAUUUUCUCUUCAGUCUUUCCCUGAAAACCAUUUUCUCUUCAAUCUUUCUCUUGAAAACCUACCUCCAUUAAACCUUCGAGAGAAGUCUUUCUCCGGAUUAUAUUUUUCUUAAAUCCUUCUCUUCAAAACCCACCACUAUUUUCUCUUCAAUAGUACUUGUGCUUGAUUUUCUGUGGUGAUUCAUUACGAAGUUAGGCAAUAAUUGAGCUUCAUAAUUUGAAUGACAGCAUUAUCUGAUCUUCAAGAAGGUUCUGAAGAAUAGAUCUAAUGGAGCUCAACUGGUUAUUUAGUGC